CAGCAGCCACGGGAAUACGAAGGGGGCUAGCGUUGCUCGGAAUUACUGGGCGUAAAGGGAGCGUAGGCGGAUCAUUAAGUUGGGGGUGAAAGCCCGGGGCUCAACCUCGGAAUUGCCUUCAAUACUGGCGAUCUUGAGUAUGGAAGAGGUAUGUGGAACUCCGAGUGUAGAGGUGAAAUUCGUAGAUAUUCGGAAGAACACCAGUGGCGAAGGCGGCAUACUGGUCCAUUACUGACGCUGAGGCUCGAAAGCGUGGGGAGCAAACAGGAUUAGAGACCCCCGUAGUCCCUGUCUCUUAUAC
RNAcentral lists this ribosomal RNA (301 nucleotides) under uncultured bacterium. RNAcentral describes it as "partial 16S ribosomal RNA". It matches the Rfam family "Bacterial small subunit ribosomal RNA", at positions 509 to 807 of the family's 1533-position model. The record is from RNAcentral.